UGUUUCAUGUAACACAUAUGAAAUAACGCCUGCCCAGUGACACUGUUCAACGGCCGCGGUAUCCUAACCGUGCAAAGGUAGCAUAAUCACUUGCCUAUUAAUUGUAGGCUAGAAUGAAAGGAUAAACGAAAUAAAAGCUGUCUCAGUUAGUCACAUAAAAAUUAUUUUCUGUAUGAAGAAAUACAGAUAAACUCGAAGGACAAGAAGACCCUAUAGAGCUUUAUUUAACAUAUAGGAUAUUACUAUAAAAAAAUUCGGUUGGGGCGACCCAGGGAUCAACAAUCACCCUAAACUAAAAAGAUAAAUAAAUCGAGCUAAUGACCCUUAAAAGAUCACAAGAUCAAGCUACCUUAGGGAUAACAGGCUAAUCCCACUCAAGAGUCCUUAUCAACAGUGAGGCUUGGCACCUCGAUGUUGGCUUAGGGUAUCUAUAUAGCGCAAAAGCUAUAUAAAGAUGGUUUGUUCAACCUAUAAUUCCCU
This 480-nucleotide ribosomal RNA is filed under the name Pheretima sp. Panay5. RNAcentral's name for it is "partial 16S rRNA". It matches the Rfam family "Bacterial large subunit ribosomal RNA", at positions 1824 to 2597 of the family's 2925-position model. Lineage: Eukaryota; Metazoa; Annelida; Clitellata; Crassiclitellata; Megascolecidae. The record is from RNAcentral.